RNAcentral lists this ribosomal RNA (572 nucleotides) under uncultured bacterium. Its description in RNAcentral is "partial 16S ribosomal RNA". It matches the Rfam family "Bacterial small subunit ribosomal RNA", at positions 355 to 918 of the family's 1533-position model. The record is from RNAcentral.
UGGGGAAUUUUGGACAAUGGGCGAAAGCCUGAUCCAGCAAUGCCGCGUGUGUGAAGAAGGCCUUCGGGUUGUAAAGCACUUUUGUCCGGAAAGAAAUCCUUGGCUCUAAUACAGUCGGGGGAUGACGGUACCGGAAGAAUAAGCACCGGCUAACUACGUGCCAGCAGCCGCGGUAAUACGUAGGGUGCAAGCGUUAAUCGGAAUUACUGGGCGUAAAGCGUGCGCAGGCGGCUUGCUAAGACCGAUGUGAAAUCCCCGGGCUCAACCUGGGGAACUGCAUUGGUGACUGGCAGGCUAGAGUAUGGCAGAGGGGGGUAGAGUUCCACGUGUAGCAGUGAAAUGCGUAGAGAUGUGGAGGAAUACCGAUGGCGAAGGCAGCCCCCUGGGCCAAUACUGACGCUCAUGCACGAAAGCGUGGGGAGCAAAACAGGAUUAGAUACCCUGGUAGUCCACGCCCUAAACGAUGUCAACUAGUUGUUGGGGAUUCAUUUCCUUAGUAACGUAGCUAACGCGUGAAGUUGACCGCCUGGGGAGUACGGUCGCAAGAUUAAAACUCAAAGGAAUUGACGGGG